CAAUAGCGUAUAUUAAAGUUGUUGCAGUUAAAAGCUCGUAGUUGGAUUUCUGGCUGGAGCGAUCGGUCCGCCCCGCAAGGGGUGUGUACUAGCGUCGUCUCCGACCAUCCUUGUGGGAACUGUGCGGCCGUUAACUCGGUUGUAUAUGGGAACACAUCGUUUACUGUGAAAAAUUAGAGUGUUUAAAGCAGGCUUAAGCCGUUGAAUACAUUAGCAUGGAAUAAUAAGAUAAGACUUGGGUCAUUAUUUUGUUGGUUUGCGGAUCGAGGUAAUGAUUAAUAGGGAUAGUUGGGGGUGCUAGUAUUCAGCGGCCAGAGGUGAAAUUCUUGGAUUCGCUGAAGACUAACUUAUGCGAAAGCAUUCACCAAGGAUGUCUUCUUUAAUCAAGAACGAAAGUUGGGGGAUCGAAGACGAUUAGAUACCGU
This 425-nucleotide ribosomal RNA is filed under the name uncultured eukaryote. RNAcentral's name for it is "bacterial SSU rRNA". It matches the Rfam family "Eukaryotic small subunit ribosomal RNA", at positions 592 to 1018 of the family's 1831-position model. The record is from RNAcentral.